RNAcentral lists this ribosomal RNA (440 nucleotides) under uncultured bacterium. RNAcentral's name for it is "partial 16S ribosomal RNA". It matches the Rfam family "Bacterial small subunit ribosomal RNA", at positions 338 to 795 of the family's 1533-position model. The record is from RNAcentral.
CCUACGGGUGGCAGCAGUGGGGAAUAUUGCACAAUGGGGGAAACCCUGAUGCAGCGACGCCGCGUGAAGGAAGAAGUAUUUCGGUAUGUAAACUUCUAUCAGCAGGGAAGAAAAUGACGGUACCUGACUAAGAAGCCCCGGCUAACUACGUGCCAGCAGCCGCGGUAAUACGUAGGGGGCAAGCGUUAUCCGGAUUUACUGGGUGUAAAGGGAGCGUAGGCGGUUUAGCAAGUCAGAAGUGAAAGCCCGGGGCUCAACUCCGGGACUGCUUUUGAAACUGUUGAACUAGAGUGCAGGAGGGGUAAGUGGAAUUCCUAGUGUAGCGGUGAAAUGCGUAGAUAUUAGGAGGAACACCAGUGGCGAAGGCGGCUUACUGGACUGUAAAUGACGCUGAGGCUCGAAAGCGUGGGGAGCAAACAGGAUUAGAUACCCGUGUAGUC